This 480-nucleotide ribosomal RNA is filed under the name Starmerella apicola. RNAcentral describes it as "partial large subunit ribosomal RNA". It matches the Rfam family "Eukaryotic large subunit ribosomal RNA", at positions 38 to 519 of the family's 3401-position model. The record is from RNAcentral. Lineage: Eukaryota; Fungi; Ascomycota; Dipodascomycetes; Dipodascales; Trichomonascaceae.
GCAUAUCAAUAAGCGGAGGAAAAGAAACCAACAGGGAUUGCCUUAGUAGCGGCGAGCGAACAGGCAAGAGCUCAGAUUUGAAAGCCCUCGGGCAUUGUAUUCUGAAGCCUUGGUCCUGAGAAUAGGUGUUUAAGUCUUCUGGAAAGGAGCGCCAUGGAGGGUGAUAGCCCCGUACGACACCACUCUCAUUGUAGGACUUUGGCAUGGAGUCGAGUUGUUUGGGAAUGCAGCUCAAAUGGGUGGUAUGCUCCAUCUAAAGCUAAAUAUCUGCGAGAGACCGAUAGCGAACAAGUACUGUGAAGGAAAGAUGAAAAGAACUUUGAAAAGAGAGUGAAAAAGUACGUGAAAUUGUUGAAAUGGAAGGAUAGGCCGCUAACCAUGUAGGGUCGUGUUUGAGGGGAAGAUAAAAGCUGAAGAAUGUAGCUCCUCGGAGUGUUAUAGCUUCAGUCCAUAUUCCCUCUCGAGCGCGAGGAUCGAAGA